CAAAAGUUUGGUCCUAGCUUUAAAGUUAAUUCUAACUAAAUUUAUACAUGCAAGUAUCCACAUACCAGUGAAAAUGCCCUAUUAGGAGCUGAUAUCAGGUACAACAAAAGUUAGCCUAAGACAUCUAGCUUAGCCACACCCCCACGGGCACGCAGCAGUGAUAAACAUUGAAAUAUAAGCAUUCAGCUUGACUCAGUUAUAGUUUUUAGAACUGGUUAAUCUCGUGCCAGCCACCGCGGUUACACGAAAAGUUCAAAUUAACACAAUCGGCGUAAAGCGUGAUAUAAAAUAUCCAACAACUAUGACCAAAAAAUUACCAAGCUGUAAUACGCAUUAGUGAAGAAUUAUGUACAACAAACGAAAGUAGUCUUAAUAUAUGGAUCAAUAAUCAUCACGAACGCUUAGACACAAACUGGGAUUAGAUACCCCACUAUGCUUAGCCAUAAAUCAUCUUACAUACUAAUAUCGCCAGAGUACUACAAGCAACAGCUUAAAACUCAAAGGACUUGGCGGUAUCCCAAACCCACCCAGAGGAGCCUGUUCUGUAAUCGACAAUACCCGCUAAACCUCACCACUCUUUGUUUUUCAGCCUAUAUACCGCCGUCGCCAGCUAACCUUCUGAAAGAAAACUAGUUAGCAAAAUGAGAUCUCUCAACACGUCAGGUCAAGGUGUAGCAAAUAGAGUGGGAAGAAAUGGGCUACAUUUUCUAACAAGAAUAUCAACGAAUGGCCUAAUGAAAUUUAUUUAAGCCUGAAGGAGGAUUUGGCAGUAAGCAAGAACAAUAAAAUCUUUCUUAAGCUGGCCAUGGGAUACGCACACACCGCCCGUCAUCCUCGUCAAAAUCAAUUCUACACUUCAUAAGUAUUUGCCGACUUAAAGAAGAGGAAAGUCGUAACAAGGUAAGUGUACUGGAAAGUGCUCUUGGAAUAAU
Molecule: non-coding RNA, 932 nt
Filed under: Boulengerula boulengeri (Usambara bluish-gray caecilian)
Lineage: Eukaryota; Metazoa; Chordata; Amphibia; Gymnophiona; Herpelidae
Description: 12S ribosomal RNA
Rfam family: Microsporidia small subunit ribosomal RNA
Source: RNAcentral